Molecule: ribosomal RNA, 248 nt
Filed under: uncultured bacterium
Lineage: Bacteria
Description: partial 16S ribosomal RNA
Rfam family: Bacterial small subunit ribosomal RNA
Source: RNAcentral
CGAACGGGUGAGUAACACGUAAGGAACCAACCCUAAAAGCGAGGAUAACUCUGGGAAACUGGAGCUAAUACUGGAUAGGAUAUAUUGUCAUAAGGCGAUAUAUUUAAAGGUGCCCUAAAGCACCGAUUUAGGAUGGUCUUGCGUCGCAUUAGAUAGUUGGUGAGGGUAACGGCCCACCAAGUCAACGAUGCGUAGCUGAGCUGAGAGGCUGAACAGCCACACUGGGACUGAGACACGGCCCAGACUCC